CAACAGAUACUGGGGAGAGGGGAGCCCUGGAGAAAACUUCACAUCCACAGGAUCUGGACAAAAAAAUGGGGAAAAGAAAGCUAAGGGCAAAAAUCUACUCCUGGCAGUAGGCACCAAGUGUCAGAGGCCACAGUGGGCCUGGGAGCAGGAACUCCAGUUGUGCCUCUUAGAGGUUGCUACUUCCUGUGUCGCUCUGAACUCAAGAAACAGAUUCGGCUGAGUCAUGUUCUUCAUUUAUGUCCUCUCUGAGGAUGACAUUCAGCAUUGAAAGCUUUGAUGCUCCAUUUUGAACACAUUCACCAAGGUCAAUCUGGCAUCUCCUCCUUCAGAUACACCACUCACAAUCGGCCUCUGCCUUUUAUACUCAGAAGCAUACAUAUUCCAAGGAAGGUCAGGUGAAGGCAUAAACAGGAAGAAAGCCAUCACCAAGAACUUGAUCAAGUUGGCACCCUGAUCUCCAUACUGUGAGAAGUACAUUUCUGUCAUUUAAGCCACCCAGUCUAUGGUGUUCCAUUUCAGCAGCCCGAACAGACAAAGCCCGAACACCCCAUGUGACCAUACUGAAGAUAGGGUCUUUGAGGAAGAGGUGAUUAAGGUACAAUGAAGUCAUAAGGGGGGAGCCCUGAUUCAGUAGAAUUGGUGUGCUAAGGAGAGGCAGAGAAGUCAGAGAACUUGCUUUCUCUCUCCACCAUGUGAGGAUACAGAGAGAAGGUGGCCAUCAGCAAACCAGAAAGAGAGGCCUCACCAGUAACCGACCAUGCUUGGCACUUGGUCUUGGACUUCUAGCCUCCAAAAACAUGAGAAAAUAAAUUGCUGU
This is a long non-coding RNA of Rhinolophus ferrumequinum (greater horseshoe bat), 817 nucleotides long. RefSeq lists it as uncharacterized. The transcript is spliced from 4 exons. The record is from RefSeq and is a predicted model, not a curated record. NCBI's taxonomy places the organism in Eukaryota, Metazoa, Chordata, Mammalia, Chiroptera, Rhinolophidae.